This 68-nucleotide transfer RNA is filed under the name Amycolatopsis sp. BJA-103. Its description in RNAcentral is "tRNA-Lys". The record is from RNAcentral. Lineage: Bacteria; Bacillati; Actinomycetota; Actinomycetes; Pseudonocardiales; Pseudonocardiaceae.
ACGGGCUGACAUGGUAGAGCUGCGGACUUUUGAUCCGUAGGUUCUGGGUUCGAGCCUCAGGCGGCCCA